Molecule: non-coding RNA, 705 nt
Organism: Hydra vulgaris (swiftwater hydra)
Lineage: Eukaryota; Metazoa; Cnidaria; Hydrozoa; Anthoathecata; Hydridae
Source: RefSeq, a predicted model, not a curated record
CUUAGCCCAUAAUAAAUAUAAUAAAUAUAUGUGUAACUUUCAAUAGUUGAUAAAUGUUAAGAGUCUUUUGCAUUUGUACUAUUUAUAUUAUAUGUACUAAAAGAAUUUUUGAAGGAUUUUGUAGCCCAUAAUAAAUAUAAUAAAUAUAUGUGUAACUUUCAAAAGUUUAUACAUGUUAAGAGUCUUAUACAUUUUUACUAUUUAUAUUUUAGUUUAUUGAAACUGUUUCUUUGACAUUCAUUAAUCUUAAACUUGUUUGGCUUAUGUUUACAGUUCCUAAAAAUUAUAUUAGCAUUGUUAAUAUUGAAAUACUUCUUCCUUGCAACCAAUACUUGUUUUGUGAGGGUGGAUACUCCAACCUGCAUCUUGUAAUGUGGUUGGAGAAGACUGAGAGGAAGGGGGGAGGGAGGGGCGUUAAGCGUGUCAUCGUUCCGCCCCUAAUGUCAAUUUAUGCACCACUUGUAUAUUCUGUUAAGUAAAAAAAUAUAAUUUAAAGUCUUUAACACAAAAUAUAAUCAGUGUUUUUUAGGCUCAAAUAUUUAUAAGAUGGUAACAUUUCACUACAAGGGUGUUAAAACAUAACAAAUACAUCCACCCUUUAAUCUAAAAUAGACCAAUAAUAUUUGGAAAAGUAAUGGAAGCAAAUUAGAACAACUUUUUGUGUAUAAAGAUAACAAAUUUUAUCAGCAAAAUACUCUUUCGUGU